CCUACGGGAGGCAGCAGUGGGGGAUAUUGCACAAUGGGGGGAACCCUGAUGCAGCGACGCCGCGUGGGUGAAGGAGUGCUUCGGCACGUAAAGCCCUAUCGGCAGGGAAGAAGCAAGACGGUACCUGACUAAGAAGCCCCGGCUAACCACGUGCCAGCAGCCGCGGCAAAACGUAGGGGGCGAGCGUUAUUCGGAUUCACUGGGUGUAAAGGGAGCGUAGACGGCGAUGCAAGCCAGGGGUCAAAGCGCGGGGCCCAACCCUGGGACGGCCCUUGGAACUAUGCGGCUAGAGUGCGGGAGGGGCAGGCGGAAUUCCUGGUGUAGCGGUGAAAUGCGUAGAUAUCAGGAGGAACACCGGCGGCGAAGGCGGCCUGCUGGACCGCGACUGACGUUGAGGCUCGAAAGCGUGGGGAGCGAACAGGAUUAGAUACCCGAGUAGUC
This 441-nucleotide ribosomal RNA is filed under the name uncultured bacterium. RNAcentral describes it as "partial 16S ribosomal RNA". It matches the Rfam family "Bacterial small subunit ribosomal RNA", at positions 338 to 795 of the family's 1533-position model. The record is from RNAcentral.